AGCACAAAGCAAUGUUAAUUGCAUAACAGGGGGAGCAAGUCCAUGACUUUGGGGCUUAGCAGCAUAGCAGGUUUGCAGAUUCACAGAGCUAACCUGCUGGUAAGAAAGAAACAGGUGUCUUGACUACAAAGUCCAUCAUAACACUAGAAUUUAUGUGCCUGGAGGAGCAGGGAUUUUGUUUACACAGCAACCCCUAAAGACGAUGAGUAUUUGGAAGCUGCUAAGUGACUUCACCGGCAUUGAGACCGGAUAUCCUGUUUACUUUUAUCUCCCCUUAUUUCAAGUCCCUCAAACAUGGGGAUUUCUAAGUUCCCAGAGAAAUAAACUGACUGGCCCAUUCAGAGUUUGCUAUCAACCCAUGGUCCAACCGACUCCAACUCAACCAGGCAUUUGGAAUUACAGAGAUCACUGUACUCUCAAAAGGAUUAUGGGAGGAAACGUUUGAGGAGGACUACAUUAAAUAAACAGGUUUCUGUGAGGGGAUUUUCAUAUAACUGAAAGCCAAGAAGCCAAGGCCCAUGAUUGAUUAGGACUGCUGCCAUAUAUAAACUUGAAAAUUUGCUCCUGUGACAAGAUAAGCACAGACAAGAGACUCGAUCAAAGUCAGCAGCUGCCAGAUGUUAAGGCAUGCAUUUUGGUCACAAUUUUAAGGAUGCUAACUGGCUUUAGCACAAAGGAGGUUUCAUAUGUACUCCCAAGGCAGGUGACGCACCAUUGAUGGAAGAACAUGUAAGAAGAAUGGACAUGAGGCCAGAGUCCCUGCUGAGGAGGCAGGACACCAGGCAGAAAAUGAGACUCCUAUUCUGUUUUGUGGAAUAAAGGAUGCACAUUGAAAUUACCUGAAGUUUUAAAAGAUCCUGUGUUAUGGGCUGAAUUAUGCUCCUCAAAUGCAUAAGUUGAAGUUAUAUCCUCAAUAUCUCAAAUCCGAGUAUAUUUAGGAACAAAGUCUUAAAGGAGGUAAUUCAGUUAAAAUGAGGUCACUAGGAAGGGCUCUAAUCCAAUACAACUGCUGUGUUCAUAAGAAGAGGAAAUGUGAACACGCUAAUAGGGAAAAAUGAUGUGAAGACACAAGGAAAAGACAGCUGUCUACAAGCCAAGGAGAGAGGCCUCAGAGGGAACCAACCUUGCCAGCACCUUCAUCUUGGAUUUCUGGUCUCCAGAAAUGUGAGAAAAUAAAUGUUGCU
This is a long non-coding RNA of Canis lupus familiaris (dog), 1184 nucleotides long. RefSeq lists it as uncharacterized. The record is from RefSeq and is a predicted model, not a curated record. The transcript has 7 exons. Lineage: Eukaryota; Metazoa; Chordata; Mammalia; Carnivora; Canidae.